This 1131-nucleotide long non-coding RNA is filed under the name Homo sapiens (human). RNAcentral's name for it is "non-protein coding lnc-ARAP2-11:1". The record is from RNAcentral. Lineage: Eukaryota; Metazoa; Chordata; Mammalia; Primates; Hominidae.
ACAGAGCCAGACUCCAUCUCAAAAAAAAAAAAAAACAAUUUAAUUAAACACACUUUUUCUAAUUCACCCUAACGGACAUAAAUUUUUCUAGGUGUUCAGCAUCCAAUAAUGAAUAUUACUGACAAAUAUCCCUCUCUCAUGUGGCUUACAGUCUCAUGUGUUUAACAGUAUACACACAACCAAAUGAAUGAAGUGUAAAAUUUUACACAGUACAAUGAAAAUCUUAAAUGAUAUGAGAUACUACAAACAAAAUAGAAAGACAAAUUAUACGCUGAAACAAGGUAUAUAGUACAUACAUAACAACAGAGGCUUUUACUCCAGAGUAUGUAAGACGAGUUCAUAUAUCAGCGAGAACAAUAAGAUGUGCCAAGAUAAAUAUGAAAAAGUCUGUAAAGAGAAAAUUUGAAUGACCAAUAAGCAAAUGAAAGAUGCUCAAAUUAAUCAUUUAUUUAAGAAAACUUACUUAAAACAAUACUGAAAAAUAAUUUACACUCAUAGGAUUAAACAGUUUUAAAAGUUGGCUAAUAUGAAGCUGUCAAAAGUUUAAAGGAUGAAAAAUGGGGCAAAAGAACACUAUGCUACUUUCUGAUAGUGUAAGUUCAGGAGAAAUUGGCAAUAUCAAAAAAGUUAAAAAUGGCUGGAAAUUAUGCUCAACAAUUUACUCCAAAAAAAAAAAUGCUUGUAUUUGUACAGAAGGAAAUAUGGCCACUAGUGUUUAUGGCAGUAAUUGUGUGUAAUUAUGAAAACACUAAAACAUCCUAAAAUUUCGAUGUGGUGGUAGAAGAAAAAUCAAUGUAGCUCAUUAGUAUUAGGGAAUAUUACACAGUAAUUGAUUAACAGAUUAAUGCACUAGAGCUACAUAAUUCUCAAAACCAUCCUGUUAAAGGAGAAAGGAAGAGUGCUUUAUGAUGGUAAAGAAAUGUCAUUAUUUGACUUUUAUAAAUACACAAAACCAAUCCCUUACAUUAUUUAUGUGUGGAUAUGUGAGCAGUUAUAUAUAAGCACAAAACUGGAUACAAAAAUAUCUGAAUGUUCACACUAACUUGAGAUUAGUGGAAAAAAAAGAAGUAACCUGUGGAACUUGGCCAUAAACUGGGCUUUUCACAAAAAAAUAGCUAUGAAUCUGAUAAG